AGCUUUGCGCAUUGGCCAUAUCGUAACCAAUGAGGUUCUACCGAGGUGCGACUAUUGCUAGUUGAAAAAAAAUCACUUAUGUUUUACAAUUCUCUCAUUGCUCAGCCCAGAAUAAACAAAUCUUCGAAUAAAUAAAUU
This is a small nuclear RNA of Toxorhynchites rutilus septentrionalis, 138 nucleotides long. RefSeq annotates it as U4 spliceosomal RNA. The transcript has a single exon. The record is from RefSeq and is a predicted model, not a curated record. NCBI's taxonomy places the organism in Eukaryota, Metazoa, Arthropoda, Insecta, Diptera, Culicidae.